Molecule: RNA transcript, 9019 nt
Organism: Lagopus leucura (white-tailed ptarmigan)
Lineage: Eukaryota; Metazoa; Chordata; Aves; Galliformes; Phasianidae
Gene: NOX4
Gene name: NADPH oxidase 4
Exons: 19
Source: RefSeq, a predicted model, not a curated record
CCGCGAGCCCCGCCGGCGUUGCUCGUGGUGGGGGCGGCGGGCAGAGCACCAUGGCCGUGUCGUGGAGGAGCUGGCUGGCUAAUGAGGGGAGCAAGCACCUCUUUCUGUUUUUCUGGCUCUCACUGAACGUGUGGUUCUUCUGGAAGACCUUCCUGCUGUACUGCCGAGGGUUGCAGUAUUACUAUCUGCAUCAGAUGUUAGGGCUAGGAUUGUGUGUUAGCAGAGCUUCAGCGUCUGUCCUCAAUCUCAACUGCUGCCUGGUCCUGCUCCCAAUGUGCCGCAUUCUCUUGGCCUUCCUCAGGGGAUCUCAGAAGGUUGCCAGCAGGAAGACCAGAAGGCUGAUAGACAAAAGUAAAACUUUUCAUGUGACAUGUGGUGUUACAAUAUGCACCUUUUCAGUCUUGCAUGUUGCUGCUCAUCUGGUGAAUGCUCUUAACUUCUCUGAGAAUUACAAUGAAGAUUUUCUGGCAAUAAAUGCAGCAAAUUAUCGUGGUGAGGACCCAAGGAAACUGCUUUUUACUACUGUUCCAGGUCUGACUGGAGUCAUUAUGGUUUUAGUGCUAUUCCUAAUGUGUACAGCAUCUACAUACGCCAUCAGGGUUUCAAACUAUGACAUCUUCUGGUAUACCCACAACCUUUUCUUUGUCUUCUAUAUACUGCUGAUGCUGCAUGUUUCCGGGGGAGUGCUCAAGUACCAGACCAACUUAGAGGAACACCCACCUGGUUGCUUUAAUCCUAACAAAACGCUGCUAGGGAAUAUGACAGUGCCGAAGCCUUUUGAAGAGCUGUUUCCUGACUAUACUACUGAGCCUUUCCCAGAGGACUUAACAUUUCCAGAACCCUUUGUACAAAGUAACUUUAUGAGAAUUUGUUCCAAGGAACCCAAGUUUCAGUCGCACUUCCCAGAGACUUGGUUUUGGAUUUCUGGACCUCUGUGCUUGUACUGUGUAGAAAGACUGUACCGCUACAUCCGCAGCAACAAGCCAGUCACAAUAACAUCAGUGAUAAGCCAUCCCUCCAAUGUCCUCGAAGUAAGGAUGAUCAAAGAUGACUUCCGAGCAAGGCCUGGUCAGUAUGUUAUUCUACACUGUCCGAGAGUGUCUGGACUGGAAAGCCAUCCAUUCACCCUUACAAUGUGCCCUACAGAUACCAAAGCAACGUUUGGGGUCCACCUUAAAGUAGUAGGAGACUGGACAGAAAGAUUUCGGGAUUUACUGCUUCUACAGUCAAAUCAAGAUGCAGAGAUUCUGCCCAUCUUUCAGCAGAGGCGCUAUCCCAAACUGUAUGUGGACGGACCUUUUGGAAGUCCCUUUGAGGAAUCCUUGAACUAUGAAGUCAGCCUCUGCGUGGCUGGUGGUAUUGGAGUUACACCAUUUGCAUCAGUUCUCAACGCUCUGCUUGAUGACUGGAAAUGCUACAAACUGAGAAGACUCUACUUCAUCUGGGUAUGCAGGGACGUCGAAUCUUUCCGCUGGUUUGCAGAUUUGCUCUGUAUGUUGCAUAACAAGCUCUGGCAAGAGAAUCGACCAGACUAUAUAAACAUCCAGCUGUACCUCAGUCAGACAGAUGGAAUACAGAAGAUAAUUGGUGAAAAAUAUCAAGCUCUAAACUCAAGGCUUUUGAUUGGACGACCCCGGUGGAAACUCCUUUUUGAUGAAAUAGCAAAGUAUAACAGGCGGAAAACCAUUGGAGUUUUCUGUUGUGGCCCAAGCAAGAUGUCUAAGAUACUUCAUAAACUGAGCAACAGCAGCAACCCUUACGGGACGAGGUUUGAGUAUAAUAAAGAGUCCUUCAGCUGAAAGUCUGUUGGACUUGGAAGAAUCUCUAGAAGAUAAAAGUGCAAUUUUUUGUUUGUAUAACUUUAAAGUUCCACUGUGGUUUAAACAGAAAUGUACCAAAGAGUAGCACAGUUUUUCUUAUUUAUGAUUAUUUAAGACUCUGGAAAAUGAUGGAUAUGGCAGUAUACCAACAAAUAUUAAGUACUCAUGCUCAAAGCCAAAUGUGCUCACACAGUAUUUGUGGCAGCGGUGAUUCUUUGGAAUUGUUUCUGUUAAUUAAAAAGUACUAAUGCUGGGGAUAAAUGCAGUUGCUUUAAAAGCCAGUGGAAGAAAAAUCUGUGGAAUGUUCUUCCACUUCAAUCUUCUGAAGUUGGAUCAAUAAACGAAACCCCCAGGUUAAUCCAAAUGACAAGUCAUAGGGCAUUUCAAACAACUGUUGCUUUUGUUGGCCUAUAGACCUUGUGACUUUGGAGUGCAGACACUCCAUAUUCAAGGUUUUAGGCGUUACAAAACUGGGAUUCUGUAUUUCAAACAUACUCUGUAAUGAGUAUCAAUAUUCCCACUUUGAAUAGAGGAGAGAGGGAAUUUAGGGGAAGAUGUAAAUCAACGUAAGGAAAAGUGAGCACAACAGCCCUAGCACCUUUGGGCAGACUCAGCCAUGAUGUAUAUCACAGCCUUUUGGCAAGGAAACAGCUGUACCUGGAAAACUCAGUAUCUAGCAUCAAUUCAGCAUUCAGUGAGUUUGCAGAAUAAGUGUGAUUUAUGCAGCCAGAAAGAUGGAGCAAGAAAAGCGAUUAACAGGAGGAGACAGGAUAUGAUGUUUUAUUAUACCACAGGCUCAGCAUGGAAGUUGCACUCACUUUGCACUCACAUGCCCUGAAUGUCAAAUACUUACAGCAUUCAGAUGUUCUUAGUGAUUAAUGUACAAUGCAGCAGGCUGAAAUCCUAUUUUAGCAGUUGUGGAAUGUCUUUGGUUGACUGCGGUCCUUUGACUACCGUUGCUGGAGUCAUGCUUGUUGUUCAGUCUCACUGAUCUCUUGUUUGUUCAGUCCCAUUGGUGUCCCUGAAAGCAGCAUUAGUCCAGAUCUGCAGCAGGGUAGGAGUAAAGCUUUCUUUACUAUGGCUCUUAGCAUCUUGUGUACAGAUACAAACUUUGCAGGAUUUGCAGUUUUCAGUGUGUUCUAAAAGGGAGGGUCUGAAACAUCCAAAUUUAAGGUCUUCUUCCCUUCUCAUUACCACAGCUGCUUUCCUGACUCUCAUAGUUGCCAUGAGGUUGAAACGGACACUUCAAAAAUUCUUUGAUUCAGAGUAGCAGCAUUUUACUUACUCAAUUCGGUAGCCAAACCAAUUUCUCUUAUUUUCUCUUGACCUUCUUUCUCGUAUUAUUUUGCCAAGAAAGGGAUAUUUAAGCUGGAGUCAGUCACAUAGUUCACAUAAAUACACCACAAUCUAGAGCAUCUUAAUACAACAGCAUUGCUUUACUCUUGCUGAAAACCUGGCCCUUCAGCAGCUGCCCAGGAGCAAAGCCUGUAAUGUCUGCAGCAUGUGCAGGUCUAUGAUUGCUCAGCAUCCCUCAUAUCACAGUUCACCUGUAUUUAGCACAGUGUAUUUGAUUCAGCAUAGAGCUUUCCAAUGCAUGCAUUUUUCAUUUUAGUAAAAACAAAUCAGUAAUUUCUCACAGCACAGGCUCUAUACAGGAUUCUUCAAGUAUGGGUUUCAGCGGACAGAGGCAAGCUUCUCUCUGGUAGGUGGUGUUGUGGCAUGUUGUGUGUGUAACUAGUGAACGUGUAUUUGGUCUUUUCCAUGACAGUUUCUGCUCAGGAGUUGCUCAAAAUGGUGCAGCUGGAUUCAGUGCAGCAGCACGGCCCCGCAGGGAUGUUUUUUACUGCCUGGACUUUGCACUGAAGUUCUUGCCUCUGACUCUGCUCAAUUUGAAAUUGAGGAGGGAAGGGAAGAGCCAGAGAUGGACUAAUUUCUACUGAUGAGAAUUCUUUAAGUAGCCUAGAGGAGAGAGAACCCAAAAUUGAAGUGUGAGAUGGAAGCCUACACUGCAGCUUGUGAUUUUUAUUUAUUUAUUUAUUUUUAAGUCUGAAUCAUUAUUUUCCCAUUGGAUCUCCUUCAUCUUGUCCCUAUAAACAAGAGGUACACAGAACAGUACCAGUUCUUCUUUAAUUAUUAAUAUUUUUCCUUAUACUGCCUGUGUGGAUUUCAUAAUAAGCACAGCACUGAUGGCAAAAUGCAUAAUCAGGUAUUGUCUGUAUUGCAGGCUUUUUUGUUUGUUUGCUGUUAGCUUAAAGCAUGAUUGAAAUCAUGACUGUGAUUGAAAUCACGACUCCAUCUGUUAGCCACAACCACACAGUGAUCAUUUUUCUCUUGUUUUAAUAUCUAGCAUCUAAUGUUUUUUAAAUAUGGUAUAGAGUCUGCUAAUCUCAAUGAUGUUCUUUGUGGUUUCACAUCUCCUCUGAUAGCUACCAGUUCCCUUACUGCAUAAUGAGCAGUUAGUUUUGUAGCAAGCUCUGCGCUAAUGCAGGUUAUCCUUUCUGGCUCAGCUGUUACAUAGGUAGUGCUUUAUAAUUAAUAAUAGCACUGUACUCUUGUGCUGAAUUCUAGCAGGAGCUGACACUGCGUGGAGGAAUGUUAUCCCCUGUUGUUACAUUAGCAGUGCUGUCAGAGCAAGAAGCUGGCAGUCUUGUCCUGUGCCAAGCUCAGCUGACCCCAGCUGACAGGCUGGGGACUGUCUACCUGUCUGGAGAGUUGUGAGAUGUAAUGAAUGUUACAGGAUCUCUUCAGUGCACCUUUAGCAGGUUUCUGUAGUUGCUAUUGAGCUGUAUUUGUGUUCUAUUUUUUGCAGUUUCUUUCAUUUGACUGAACCUUUCUGUUGCUCACGUGGGUAUUACUAGACUGGAUGAGUGUGGGUUUGGUGGAAAGUUAAAGUGUCCGUUGCUUUUUUUCCUUUUCUUUGCACUGUGCUCUUUAGAGAAGCAGAAAGUCUAAGGGUGAGUGACUGUGACUUGACCUCAGCAGUGGCAAAUGUUAUUUAUAAAAGCAGUUGGUCUGCAUUCUCCUUGCUGCUUUGUAAUGUUUCACUUUAGCUUGCAAAAUCAAGCUGAACUUGCUUUUAAACUGCAUACAGUUUUUAUAUGUACACCAAAUGUACAUGAAAAUAUAACUCUUUGCCAGGCAAGUAAAUGAAGGCUGGCAGCACCUAAUUCCACUUUUACUGUUCAGUUGAAUUUAUGCUAUUUAAUGUCUCUUUACGUGUUACAUUUGUGUCCUGGGAGUGAGUCUGCCAUAAGCUUCCUGCUGACAGGGGAAGAAUCCCACCAUGUAUUGUGCUACUUCUUGCUCACUUGUCCCGAAGCUACAGACCCUCAGUGGCAUCUUUGUGCUUUAUUCAUCAUAAAUGUUUUGGGAUUUUUAUUUAAAACAGGAGAGUUUUUUCAUGCCAUGAUGGAAGCCAAACCCUUUCUCUGCAAAGAAAGCCCAGCCCAGCAAUGUGAGAGCUGGAGCUUUGCACAGCUGCAUUCAUCAGACUUCCCCAGGCAGUCCUGGUCCCACAUCACUGAGCUCGCCUGUCUGAGAGACAGGAUUAGAAGGACCGAGAGAUCCCUGUGCACAUCCUUGAACCUAGGCUGAGGAGAGGAGAGCAGGAUGUACCACAUCCCCCUUGCUGCUGACUGCACUGCUUAGAGCACUGGUAGAAAUGUUAAGCCAAAUCUGCUUUCCAACAAAACGCGUAUUGUUUUGCCACACCAAACUAGAGAACAGUUGCUGUGAAAGGAAAAAAAAGAUAAAUCCUUUCUGUUUGAAGACUCCUGCCCACAUAAGCCUGAUGUGAAGAUGUAUGGAAACACUGCGCAUAUUCAGCUUCCAGCAGCACUGGGGGUCACACACUGCAUCCCUACAAUGGUCUCUCUGCCUCAGCACUCAACUCCCAUAAUUAUUCUUUGUUGCAGGUCUUCACCUGUUAUUGUAGACUCACAGAAUUGUAAUCUCACUAAGUUUGGAAAAAUCCUCUAAGAUCAUUUACUCCAGCUGUCCUUCUACCAUUAAUAUUGCCCACUAAACCAUGUCCCUAAGUACCACAUCUGCACAUUCCUUGAAUAGCUCCAGGGACAGUGACUCCACUAAUUUCCUGGGCAUCUUGUUCCAGUGCCCAACCACUUUUUGGUGAGCUUGCUUUUGCUCAUAGGCAGCCUGAACUACUCCUGGUGCAACUUGGCACCAUUGAUCUCGCAGAUCAAUAUAUAUCUAUAUAUGCUUGUGUGCACACACAGGCUGAUAUAAACUCAGAGCAACUUGUGAGCAUUCUCUGCAGCCAGGUGCAGAACUGUCCUUUUGCUUCUAAUGCCUUUAGCACGGAAGUGAGGAAGCAGUUUGGAGCUGACUGUGAAGGUGCAGAUAAUAUGAGUGGUAGGCUGGCCUCUUGGGGAGUGGUAAUUGAGCUGUAAAAGCCUAACAAAUCCAAGAAGCAGCCUAAGAGAAAAGCCUUUGCUCAACACUGCACACCAGGUUGUAGUUUCAAACUACAAGAAGUUGCUUACAAAAGCCAGCAGGAGGCUAAGUAGUCAUUGUCAGUAGGAGUCUGAGCCCCUUAAGUCAGAGCAAAGUUAUUCAAAUGCAAUGUUUACUUGUUUAAAAAAUAAAAGAGCUUCUAGGGAGAUUAAUUUUCACUUCAGUCUGGCAAUCAUUUCAUAAACAUGCCAGUGUGAUUUAAGGCAAGCUGGAUCUGUUCUUCUCUGGAUUAUGCAUCUGAUUUGUCUGCAGUUUCCCACCCCUCACAAAUAAAAGCAGUUUUAUUGUUUUAACAAAGAGGAUUUUAAAGCAAAGUUUAAUCAAAAUGCCACUGGCACCCGUGCUGAACUGAGCUUUUCUGUAAUGAACGUGCAUUUAUCAGGGUUAUAUAGAAAACAGCUGAGGACUCAACUCUGAAUGGUGAUUUGGAGUUUGAGUCAUCUCUGCUGUUGGUGUAUUUAAUUAAGAUCACUGUGAUAAUGCACUGGUGAAACACAUGGAGCUGAAAUGAGACUUUUCAUUCCCAUAAAGAGGUUGUUCCUGUACUAAGCACAAUAAAUUCCAGAAAGUCUGGGUUUUCCUUUAUAGGAAACCUGUGUGCUCUGCUAGACUGGCACGUACAAUGAAAGCACCAGAUUUUGAGCAACAAAUGCUUCUUCAGGAGCUGUUUGAGUGUUUGUAAAGAUUUCUCAUUCUGCUAAUUGCAUCACCCUUGUUGUAGGAGGUAUGGGAUAUGUUUUCAUCCUGUGGACUAUUUCUGAGGUUAGGAAUAGCUCUAAACUUCACUGUAGUGAAUGCUCAAGCUUUGCAGUGUCUGAAGCAUUAUAUUGUCUGAAAGGAUCAUAUAAUGGGGACAUGGUUUAGUGGGCAUGGUUGGGCUAGAUUAUCUUUGAGGUCUUUUCCACCUGGAUGAUGCUAUGAUUCUAUCUGUAUGCUGUAGAAAUAGCGAAGGAUCUGCCCUAUUCUUUGGGGAAUACAAGGAGAAAGCUGGAGAAAGCAACCCAUCCCAAUUGCAGAUUGCCUCUUAAUAGAGUCCUUAGAUUUCAGGGUGUGUCAUACCUUGUGAAAAGUACUAUUAAGUAUUUUAAGUGCCUCUUUCUGGCAAAAGUCUGGCUUUCCUACAGCCCCAAAUCUGUACCUUCUUCCUAAUGAUCUGCACUGUUACACCAGGAGAGGGGGAUCUGUGAGUAGCUCCUGAAGCUGUCAGCUGAGGAGCAAACCGAGGCGGGCAGGGGAGGAUGAUGAAUUCCAGCACAUGAACAGCUUGAAAUAUUUAGAACGUGGAAGCAAAGGGGAAGGUGGGAGACAUUCUCCCUGGCUCUUCAGUAGCAGAAAUUAAAAGCAAACCCUAUUGCCUGGAUGUGGAUGCUAAUUCUCUCUGGGGUUUGAGAACUGUUGUAUACAGAGAUAGCCUUUCAGUGGUCAACUGAAAGCUAAAGCACAGAAGAAAACUGGUAUAUUUUAGUAAAACACCUUGGAAAUAAGUAAUUUACUUGAAAUAAAUUCACUAUUGAUUCCUUCUAGUUAACUUGUGUCAAAAAACAUCUACUUCUGUUUUGCAGCUUUGGGGUUUGGAAUGGCUUUACUUCUUUUUCACCAGAAUCGUGGAGUAUAUAUAGUUCUCCAUGCUAGCUGUAAGUAGCUUUGACAGUUCAAUAAAUACAUUCUGUGUUCUUUACAGCUGACCCUAGGUAAGGACAGCCUUGAGGAUGUGAAGCAGCGUUGCAUAAAUGUGUAGAGUACAUAGCAACACUGAGAAGAGAGAUGCUGCUGUGUUGCUUUGGUGCACUAGACAUACAUUAAAAUUCUGUCACUGCAAGGUCGCAUUGCUCAUCUCAUACUCUACAACCCUGAAUAAGAAUGGAAGGUGGGGGAGGAAGAGCAAAAACUUCCACCUUGUGCUACUGCUGAGAACAUACUCAUCAGCAGCAUUUCUUUCUAUUUCAAAAGAGCAUGCGAUUUCUUUUCUAAGGAUAAUGGAUUCUUGGUGCUAAGUAAUGGUGUUUGCAUGUUAGUGGUAACAUGCUACUUCUGAACUGAAUAAAUAACACCUCUGGGUCUUUUCUUCUCCUUUAAAUUAUCAAAGAGAAAUACCAAAUGCCACACGGCACACAGAGUGGACUGUGCCUUAAGCUGCUCCAAGUGCAGCCUCGUUAGCAGUGCUGCACAGAAAUCAUGCAAGCUGGUGGGAAGAUGCAAGGUUUAAGCAAAGAGGAAAGAACUCUUGAAAGAGAAGCACAACAGUGAUAUAUCAUUUGAAACCAGAAGCAGGCAUGUCACAGCAGUGGCCAUCACAUCUGACUGGUGCUGAGUCAGAAGCCUACCUUACAAGUAUACCUGGCAUCAAGGAAAGUUGAGAGCUCUCAAAUUGAGUCUACAAUGUGAGAUGAAAGCAAAUUAGGUGAGCCACCUGUUUGGUUUCCAGCUUGGAACUUGGACCUGCUCUGUCUGAGAGCUUCUUGUAUAGAUAAUGAGCUGAUCUGACUCCCAAGUGUGGACUCAGUUGUGUAGCUAACUGAGGGUAUGUGCAUCCCCUUUGUAUUUCUAUGGCUUUGCAAAAUCAAGUUGCUUAGUGACUGGGAGCAGAGUAUCUUACUGUAGGGUUAGUUGCUCGAAAUCCUGUUCUUUCCUGUUAAGAACAAUGGCCUGACCAGAUGAGGAUGAUGACUGCCAGUUUCCAUUGGUGAAUUAAUAUGGCCUGCCCAUAUUCACACUCAUGUUCAUGG